UACGUAGGGUGCGAGCGUUAAUCGGAAUUACUGGGCGUAAAGCGUGCGCAGGCGGUGAUGUAAGUCAGAUGUGAAAUCCCCGGGCUCAACCUGGGAACUGCAUUUGUGACUGCAUCGCUGGAGUGCGGCAGAGGGGGAUGGAAUUCCGCGUGUAGCAGUGAAAUGCGUAGAUAUGCGGAGGAACACUGAUGGCGAAGGCAAUCCCCUGGGCCUGCACUGACGCUCAUGCACGAAAGCGUGGGGAGCAAACAGG
Molecule: ribosomal RNA, 253 nt
Filed under: uncultured bacterium
Lineage: Bacteria
Description: partial 16S ribosomal RNA
Rfam family: Bacterial small subunit ribosomal RNA
Source: RNAcentral